RNAcentral lists this ribosomal RNA (564 nucleotides) under Streptomyces sp. 415B11. Its description in RNAcentral is "bacterial SSU rRNA". It matches the Rfam family "Bacterial small subunit ribosomal RNA", at positions 93 to 671 of the family's 1533-position model. The record is from RNAcentral. Lineage: Bacteria; Bacillati; Actinomycetota; Actinomycetes; Kitasatosporales; Streptomycetaceae.
CAGCGGCGAACGGGUGAGUAACACGUGGGUGAUCUGCCUCGUACUCUGGGAUAAGCUCGGGAAACUGGGUCUAAUACCGGAUAUGACCAUCGGUUGCAUGGCUGGUGGUGGAAAGAUUUAUCGGUGCGAGAUGGGCCCGCGGCCUAUCAGCUUGUUGGUGGGGUAAUGGCCUACCAAGGCGACGACGGGUAGCCGACCUGAGAGGGUGACCGGCCACACUGGGACUGAGACACGGCCCAGACUCCUACGGGAGGCAGCAGUGGGGAAUAUUGCACAAUGGGCGGAAGCCUGAUGCAGCGACGCCGCGUGAGGGAUGACGGCCUUCGGGUUGUAAACCUCUUUCGACAGGGACGAAGCGUGAGUGACGGUACCUGUAGAAGAAGCACCGGCCAACUACGUGCCAGCAGCCGCGGUAAUACGUAGGGUGCGAGCGUUGUCCGGAAUUACUGGGCGUAAAGAGCUUGUAGGCGGUUUGUCGCGUCUUCUGUGAAAACUCACAGCUCAACUGUGAGCUUGCAGGGGAUACGGGCAGGCUAGAGUACUUCAGGGGAGACUGGAAUUCCU